Molecule: ribosomal RNA, 273 nt
Filed under: uncultured Brucellaceae bacterium
Lineage: Bacteria; Pseudomonadati; Pseudomonadota; Alphaproteobacteria; Hyphomicrobiales; Brucellaceae
Description: partial 16S ribosomal RNA
Rfam family: Bacterial small subunit ribosomal RNA
Source: RNAcentral
UACGUAGGGUCCAAGCGUUAAUCGGAAUUACUGGGCGUAAAGCGCACGUAGGCGGACUUUUAAGUCAGGGGUGAAAUCCCGGGGCUCAACCCCGGAACUGCCUUUGAUACUGGAAGUCUUGAGUAUGGUAGAGGUGAGUGGAAUUCCGAGUGUAGAGGUGAAAUUCGUAGAUAUUCGGAGGAACACCAGUGGCGAAGGCGGCUCACUGGACCAUUACUGACGCUGAGGUGCGAAAGCGUGGGGAGCAAACAGGAUUAGAAACCCUGGUAGUCC